RNAcentral lists this small RNA (819 nucleotides) under uncultured Chloroflexota bacterium. RNAcentral's name for it is "bacterial SSU rRNA". The stretch from base 1 to 472 matches the Rfam family "Bacterial small subunit ribosomal RNA", at positions 1045 to 1533 of the family's 1533-position model. The record is from RNAcentral. Lineage: Bacteria; Bacillati; Chloroflexota.
AUGGCUGUCGUCAGCUCGUGCCGUGAGGUGUAGGGUUAAGUCCUGAAACGAGCGCAACCCUCGGCGUUAGUUAGAUAGUCUAACGCGACUGCCCGCGACAAGCGGGAGGAAGGCGGGGAUGACGUCAAGUCAGCAUGGCCUUUAUGUCCAGGGCGACACACACGCUACAAUGGUCGGUACAGUCGGUUGCCAACCCGCAAGGGGGAGCCAAUCCACAAAGCCGGCCUCAGUUCAGAUUGUGGGCUGCAACCCGCCCACAUGAAGUCGGAGUUGCUAGUAACCGCGCGUCAGCAUAGUGCGGUGAAUACGUUCCCGGGCCUUGUACACACCGCCCGUCACGUCAUGGGAGCUGGUUACGCCUGAAGCCGGUGAGCCAACCGCAAGGAGGCAGCCGUCCAAGGCAGAAUCGGUGACUGGGACGAAGUCGUAACAAGGUAGCAGUAGCGGAAGCUGCGGCUGGAUCACCUCCUUUCUAGAGAGACACCGUGACGAAAGGGUGAAAGCGACGCGCAAGCGUUGGAGUAACCCCCAGGCACCAGUCCUCACACAAGGUUUUCUGUACCCUGGUUUCUUUGUCUUGCUUGUCACUCCGCAGUCGUGAAGGGUGCACCUUCACAAGAGAAUAAGAAGAGCGCGAGGUAGCGAGAAACGCAGAAAACAGCGAGUUCUCAGUAGAAUAGGUUCUCAGAGAGAAGCUACAAGAGCGCAGAGGGAAUGACUUGGCGAUAAGUGCCGACGAAGGACGCGGUACACUGCGAAAAGCUCCGGCAAGGUGUGUGCAACCGUAACAACCGGAGAUGUCCGAAUGGGGAAACCCGG